AGCAUUGUCAUGAUGACUAUAGUAUUAAGGUUAUAAAGUAUCCAGCUGGACUAUGCCUUACUUGUAAAAGAAAUCUGUACCUGGUUAAAGCUGGAAGACCUCUUUCAACAUCAGUUAAACUGAAAUGGAGCAAAGAAUCUUUAAGCGAUUUCUACUGCAGUAGGAGCUGCAAACUUCAACUUCAUACCUGUAAAUAUUCUCUGGCAUCAGACCUCAAACUCAUCAAUAUUUUGUUGGGAAUUUCGACUCACGGUGGAAAAUACAGUUGUCCCUGGUGUGACGAGAAGCUGUUCUGAAAUCUGGUAAUCUCAGAAGUUUUGGAGACCUAGAUAACUGUUUCCGUCAGUAUGCUGAUGCAGGCUUUCCUGAGAAACAAAUGAUGAAUUUUAACAAUGUUGUGAAGCCUUGUCUUAUAAAGGUAGAUGAUCCCAAGAAG
Non-coding RNA from Hydra vulgaris (swiftwater hydra), 436 nucleotides. NCBI's taxonomy places the organism in Eukaryota, Metazoa, Cnidaria, Hydrozoa, Anthoathecata, Hydridae. The record is from RefSeq and is a predicted model, not a curated record.